AUUGAACGCUGGCGGCAUGCCUAACACAUGCAAGUCGAACGGCAGCACGGUAUUCGGCCUCGCCUCGCGUUGGCGACGGGCGAGUAAUUCAUCGGUACGUGACCAGCCGCUGGGGCUAGGCUGGCGACGGCGGGAUUAUUACGCUACUCGAUCAUAGGGUGAAAGGGGGGGACCAAAAGUCCUUGGGCUUUUGGGUGGGCCGAUGAGGGAUUAGCUAGUUGGUGGGGUAAAGGCUUACCAAGGCGACGAUCCGUAGCUGGUCUGAGAGGACGACCAGCCACACUGGAACUGAGACACGGCCCAGACUCCUACGGGAGGCAGCAGUGGGGAAUUUUGGACAAUGGGGGCAACCCUGAUCCAGCCAUGCCGCGUGCGGGAAGAAGGCCUUCGGGUUGUAAACCGCUUUUGUUCGGGAAGAAAUACUCUGGGCUAAUACCCCGGGGGGAUGACGGUACCGGAAGAAUAAGCACCGGCUAACUACGUG
RNAcentral lists this ribosomal RNA (484 nucleotides) under uncultured bacterium. RNAcentral describes it as "partial 16S ribosomal RNA". It matches the Rfam family "Bacterial small subunit ribosomal RNA", at positions 30 to 507 of the family's 1533-position model. The record is from RNAcentral.